Molecule: long non-coding RNA, 3015 nt
Filed under: Volvox carteri
Lineage: Eukaryota; Viridiplantae; Chlorophyta; Chlorophyceae; Chlamydomonadales; Volvocaceae
Description: long non-coding RNA (VCAR_LNC003864)
Source: RNAcentral
UCUAGCAACUAGUUGAUGUUAUGAUGCAUCGUUGGUCCGGUGUACGAUGGCGCCUGAUGCGAUUUAUGCGUCCGGAAGCCCUUUCAGCCUCCAGGCAUGUCCCCACCUGCCUCACAGCCACCGACGCAUCUCACGGCGGGGGUCCAAUUGCGUGCGCGUAUGGAUGCUCCUUUCCCCGCCGCCUUUCUAGCAACUAGUUGAUGUUAUGAUGCAUCGUUGGUCCGGCGUACGACGGCGCCUGAUGCGAUUUAUGCGUCCGAAAGCCCUUUCAGCCUCCAGGCAUGUCCCCACCUGCCUCACAGCCACCGACGCAUCUCACGGCGGGGUUCCAUAUUGUGUGCGCAUAUGGAUGCUCCUUUCCCCGCCGCCUUUCUAGCAACUAGUUGAUGUUAUGAUGCAUCGUUGGUCCGGUGUACGACGGCGCCUGAUGCGAUUUAUGCGUCCGGAAGCCCUUUCAGCCUCCAGGCACGUCCCCACCUGCCUCACAGCCACCGACGCAUCUCACGGCGGGGUUCCAUAUUGUGUGCGCAUAUGGAUGCUCCUUUCCCCGCCGCCUUUCUAGCAACUAGUUGAUGUUAUGAUGCAUCGUUGGUCCGGUGUACGACGGCGCCUGAUGCGAUUUAUGCGUCCGGAAGCCCUUUCAGCCUCCAGGCACGUCCCCACCUGCCUCACAGCCACCGACGCAUCUCACGGCGGGGGUCUAAUUGCGUGCGCAUAUGGAUGCUCCUUUCCCCGCCGCCUUUCUAGCAACUAGUUGAUGUUAUGAUGCAUCGUUGGUCCGGUGUACGACGGCGCCUGAUGCGAUUUAUGCGUCUGAAAGCCCUUUCAGCCUCCAGGCAUGUCCCCACCUGCCUCACAGCCACCGACGCAUCUCACGGCGGGGGUCUAAUUGCGUGCGCGUAUGGAUGCUCCUUUCCCCGCCGCCUUUCUAGCAACUAGUUGAUGUUAUGAUGCAUCGUUGGUCCGGUGUACGAUGGCGCCUGAUGCGAUUUAUGCGUCCGGAAGCCCUUUCAGCCUCCAGGCAUGUCCCCACCUGCCUCACAGCCACCGACGCAUCUCACGGCGGGGGUCUAAUUGCGUGCGCGUAUGGAUGCUCCUUUCGCCGCCUUUCCAGCAACUAGUUGAUGUUAUGAUGCAUCGUUGGUCCGGCGUAACGACGGCGCCUGAUGCGAUUUAUGCGUCCGGAAGCCCUUUCAGCCUCCAGGCAUGUCCCCACCUGCCUCACAGCCACCGACGCAUCUCACGGCGGGGUUCCAAUUGUGUGCACGUAUGGAUGCUCCUUUCGCCGCCGCCUUUCUAGCAACUAGUUGAUGUUAUGAUGCAUCGUUGGUCCGGUGUACGACGGCGCCUGAUGCGAUUUAUGCGUCUGAAAGCCCUUUCAGCCUCCAGGCAUGUCCCCACCUGCCUCACAGCCACCGACGCAUCUCACGGCGGGGUUCCAAUUGUGUGCGCAUAUGGAUGCUCCUUUCCCCGCCGCCUUUCUAGCAACUAGUUGAUGUUAUGAUGCAUCGUUGGUCCGGUGUACGACGGCGCCUGAUGCGAUUUAUGCGUCUGAAAGCCCUUUCAGCCUCCAGGCAUGUCCCCACCUGCCUCACAGCCACCGACGCAUCUCACGGCGGGGUUCCAAUUGUGUGCGCAUAUGGAUGCUCCUUUCCCCGCCGCCUUUCUAGCAACUAGUUGAUGUUAUGAUGCAUCGUUGGUCCGGUGUACGACGGCGCCUGAUGCGAUUUAUGCGUCCGGAAGCCCUUUCAGCCUCCAGGCAUGUCCCCACCUGCCUCACAGCCACCGACGCAUCUCACGGCGGGGUUCCAAUUGUGUGCGCGUAUGGAUGCUCCUUUCCCCGCCGCCUUUCUAGCAACUAGUUGAUGUUAUGAUGCAUCGUUGGUCCGGUGUACGACGGCGCCUGAUGCGAUUUAUGCGUCCGGAAGCCCUUUCAGCCUCCAGGCAUGUCCCCACCUGCCUCACAGCCACCGACGCAUCUCACGGCGGGGUUCCAAUUGUGUGCGCGUAUGGAUGCUCCUUUCCCCGCCGCCUUUCUAGCAACUAGUUGAUGUUAUGAUGCAUCGUUGGUCCGGUGUACGACGGCGCCUGAUGCGAUUUAUGCGUCCGGAAGCCCUUUCAGCCUCCAGGCAUGUCCCCACCUGCCUCACAGCCACCGACGCAUCUCACGGCGGGGUUCAUAAUGUGUGCGCGUAUGGAUGCUCCUUUCCCCGCCGCCUUUCUAGCAACUAGUUGAUGUUAUGAUGCAUCGUUGGUCCGGUGUACGACGGCGCCUGGUGCGAUUUAUGCGUCCGGAAGCCCUUUCAGCCUCCAGGCAUGUCCCCACCUGCCUCACAGCCACCGACGCAUCUCACGGCGGGGUUCCAAUUGCGUGCGCGUAUGGAUGCUCCUUUCCCCGCCGCCUUUCUAGUAACUAGUUGAUGUUAUGAUGCAUCGUUGGUCCGGUGUACGACGGCGCCUGAUGCGAUUUAUGCGUCCGGAAGCCCUUUCAGCCUCCAGGCAUGUCCCCACCUGCCUCACAGCCACCGACGCAUCUCACGGCGGGGUUCCAAUUGUGUGCGCGUAUGGAUGCUCCUUUCCCCGCCGCCUUUCUAGUAACUAGUUGAUGUUAUGAUGCAUCGUUGGUCCGGUGUACGAUGGCGCCUGAUGCGAUUUAUGCGUCCGGAAGCCCUUUCAGCCUCCAGGCAUGUCCCCACCUGCCUCACAGCCACCGACGCAUCUCACGGCGGGGUUCCAAUUGUGUGCGCGUAUGGAUGCUCCUUUCCCCGCCGCCUUUCUAGCAACUAGUUGAUGUUAUGAUGCAUCGUUGGUCCGGUGUACGACGGCGCCUGAUGCGAUUUAUGCGUCCGGAAGCCCUUUCAGCCUCCAGGCAUGUCCCCACCUGCCUCACAGCCACCGACGCAUCUCACGGCGGGGUUCCAAUUGCGUGCGCGUAUGGAUGCUCCUUUCCCCGCCGCCUUUCUAGUAACUAGUUGAUGUUAUGAUGCAUCGUUGGUCCGGUGUACGAUGGCGCCU